Molecule: long non-coding RNA, 219 nt
Organism: Lepisosteus oculatus (spotted gar)
Lineage: Eukaryota; Metazoa; Chordata; Actinopteri; Semionotiformes; Lepisosteidae
Source: RefSeq, a predicted model, not a curated record
UUUUCCAUUUAAAAAAAUAACUUGUUUUCCCUUUCCUGCUUUAGACUGCCACUAUCUUAAAUGCUGCAGGACAUGGAUCCGCCGGUAAUAGUGGGAGAGAAGAUGCUGCAGUCACCAGCGAAAAAACCUGAAGACAUCACUUUACCCCCCUCCCCCUCCUCAGAGCACAUACAGCGCUUGAGUUAAUAAAGGGUUGAUUAUCAACUUCCAGAAUGUGAA